CGUGUAGGCGGCCAGGUAGGUCCGUUGUGAAACUGGAGGCUUAACCUCCAGCCGUCGACGGAAACCAUCUGGCUAGAGUCCGGAAGAGGAGAGUGGAAUUCCUGGUGUAGCGGUGAAAUGCGCAGAUAUCAGGAAGAACACCCGUGGCGAAGGCGGCUCUCUGGGACGGUACUGACGCUGAGACGCGAAAGCGUGGGGAGCGAACAG
Molecule: ribosomal RNA, 207 nt
Filed under: uncultured bacterium
Lineage: Bacteria
Description: partial 16S ribosomal RNA
Rfam family: Bacterial small subunit ribosomal RNA
Source: RNAcentral